Molecule: ribosomal RNA, 253 nt
Filed under: uncultured bacterium
Lineage: Bacteria
Description: partial 16S ribosomal RNA
Rfam family: Bacterial small subunit ribosomal RNA
Source: RNAcentral
UACGAAGGGGGCUAGCGUUGCUCGGAAUCACUGGGCGUAAAGCGCACGUAGGCGGAUUGCUAAGUCAGGGGUGAAAUCCUGGAGCUCAACUCCAGAACUGCCUUUGAUACUGGCGACCUUGAGUCCGGGAGAGGUGAGUGGAACUGCGAGUGUAGAGGUGAAAUUCGUAGAUAUUCGCAAGAACACCAGUGGCGAAGGCGGCUCACUGGCCCGGUACUGACGCUGAGGAGCGAAAGCGUGGGGAGCGAACGGG